Molecule: ribosomal RNA, 460 nt
Filed under: uncultured bacterium
Lineage: Bacteria
Description: partial 16S ribosomal RNA
Rfam family: Bacterial small subunit ribosomal RNA
Source: RNAcentral
CCUACGGGCGGCAGCAGUGAGGAAUAUUGGUCAAUGGACGAGAGUCUGAACCAGCCAAGUCGCGUGAAGGAUGACUGCCCUAUGGGUUGUAAACUUCUUUUAUAUGGGAAUAAAAUGUUCCACGUGUGGGAGUUUGUAUGUACCAUAUGAAUAAGGAUCGGCUAACGCCGUGCCAGCAGCCGCGGUUAUACGGAGGAGCCGAGCGUUAUCCGGAUUUAUUGGGUUUAAAGGGAGCGUAGGUGGAUUGUUAAGUCAGUUGUGAAAGUUUGCGGCUCAACCGCAAAACUGCAGUUGAAACUGGCAGUCUUGAGUACAGUAGAGGUGGGCGGAAUUCGUGGUGUAGCGGUGAAAUGCUUAGAUAUCACGAAGAACUCCGAUUGCGAAGGCAGCUCACUGGACUGCAACUGACACUGAGGCUCGAAAGUGUGGGUAUCAAACAGGAUUAGAUACCCGAGUAGUC